This is a long non-coding RNA of Homo sapiens (human), 729 nucleotides long. RefSeq lists it as uncharacterized. The transcript has 2 exons. The record is from RefSeq and is a predicted model, not a curated record. Lineage: Eukaryota; Metazoa; Chordata; Mammalia; Primates; Hominidae.
GCAAGAUGUAUGACUUUACACCCCAAUGCUACUAGAGGAGAACUUCAUUAGUCUGCAUCCCUCAGAAUCUAAGUUGAUUUUUCAGCAAACCUUCCAAGAGCAAAGGGGACACUUUCCCUUCACCCCUGCAGAAGACGUCUCCGAGGAAGUGAAACAUUGGUGGAUAUAUGAUAGAAAUCAUCAUGGUAAAGAAAGUAUUACAGUAAGACUGAAAACCAACCAUUUUGCCCAAGGGACAGACCCUCAGCUGUGACUCUGCACCUGAUCUCUGUGGCUUUGCUGAAAUGUAGCUUUAACCCUGGAGUACCCUAAAGGUGAGCACCAGCGCGAUGGAGAGGUGAGAGCACAGACUUUGGCUGUUGGCCUCAGUUUCUUCCUCUGCAGUUUGGUGUGAAGCUCAGAGAUGGUGCAUGGAGCCCCCAGAGAUAGUAGCUGGCACCUGGAGACCCAUGCCCUGCUUGGGCCACACCUCUGCUGGUGCAGGGAAACCUGGGCAACCCGAGGUGGACAGACCAGUUCUACUGGAAGCUGGUCCCCAUCACCUGUACUUUUCCCACAAAAGACUCCCUUCCUUAUCCCCUUCCUCACUCACCCACAAAAGAACCCUUUCCUUAUCCAUGACCUGUACUUUACCCACAAGAAACCCCCUUCCUUACCCACUCCCUUCCUUACUCAAUCUGGCAGGGCUCAGAUUGCAAUAAAGAAGGGUCAGUAAUCCACAAAUCCAAA